This is a non-coding RNA of Misgurnus anguillicaudatus (oriental weatherfish), 1890 nucleotides long. The record is from RefSeq and is a predicted model, not a curated record. NCBI's taxonomy places the organism in Eukaryota, Metazoa, Chordata, Actinopteri, Cypriniformes, Cobitidae.
UAUAGUGCAGGUGCAUCAGCACAGUUACAUUGAAAACCUACAACCAGUUCACUUACAGGCAGCACGAGCUGUACAGAGAGAGGCUCCACUAAACGAGAAAGUAAAAUAACAACUCCGGUCCAAAUUGGACAGAUUUUGUGAGUUGCUAAACAAACAAGACCAAAUGUAAUGUUUGACACAUGUAGCCUAGCAUCCAACAUUAAGAAUGAUACUGUUCAGUCCAUACAUGAAAUGAAAGUCACACUUAAGUUCCAACACUUGGGAAACAGUGAAGAUUUAAGUUUAGUGGCUUUCAGUGAUGCCUCACUAGGCAAUCUUCAGGAUGGAGGUACACAGGAAGGGGCUUUAAUUGUCCUCAUGGAAAAAACAGUAAAGUGUUCCCCUUUGUUUUGGCAAUCUAAGAAAAUCAAACGUGUGGUAAGAAGCACGCUGGCAGGAGAAACCCUUGCGAUUGUAGCAGCACUACCCAGACGGGUUGAAUGAUAAGUGCUUUAAUUAGAGACAGGUGUGCUAUGGGUGUAGGUGUGCAUAAAAGGAAGGUUUCCAGCAUUGUUUGAGGCUGACGGGUGGUUGCUGCUGUGACUUUGGACGUUGAAUGCCUAAUGUUUUCUUAGUGGAUUUUUUGAGCCGUUUGGGACCAGCAUUUGAUUGUGGACUUGCUGCAUUUUGGUAUACAUGCCAUGUGGAGUUUAUCCAUCACUGGAUGUGUCAGCAGUGCCGACUCUCUAAUAAUCAGCUUAAAGCACUCCGGAGGUAUAUGCCCAUAUGACACUGGGUAGCGGAUUUGGAUGGUGGCCCAGCUUCCCCUUCUUGGUGUUUUAUUAUUAUUUUUCUAAUUUUUUUGUUUAAGUAUCUGCCUAGCGGCUUACUUCUGUGACACCUGGUCCACCCCUUCAUUUGUGCCGUCCGCAUUAAGUGGCCUGUUCCUGGGAAUAACUGUGGGACAGGGUAUUAGUUUUUCUCAGUCGCUUUGGUGCAUUUCUCACAUCACUAUUUACAUUCGCACAACAGUUAGUUCAACCUCCACAACAUUUAGUCAUUUGUGCACGUCAUAGUAGCAGUUUCUCAUUCCUUCGAACAAAUUGCAAAUGCUUUUGGACAUGCAUCAAUUGCUUUCAUACAAUUCUCUGCUGUUUUAUAACAUUAUCAUUUGUUUGUCAUGUCAGUCAAAAUUAACUAUACUUGUGAAUGCUGAAUAGUCAUUCCAUGUAAAACUAAUAGUCCUUAUUUCAUUGCUUCAGUCAUUACAUACAAAAAUUUUCAAGUUUUUUUAAGUCUUUUUUUAUCCGAAAAGUCUCCUAAAUUGAACAAUUUUUGAGAUGAUGUGGCCAGACAGAGGAAUGUCUGGAUGUACAAGAAUGAUUACAGUACUAUGUCUGUUGUAUGUUCAGUUCCAAUAUGUACUGCAAUGUUUUUUUACAGUUGUGCACAGCCAAAGUUUGUUUGUUGUAAAUAAGGAUGUAUUUUUUUCUUUUGCACAAUACUAUGAACAGAUUAGAAUUGCAAAUAGGGAUGGGACGAUUACCGGUUUCACGAUUAACCAUGAUAAAAUGUCCUGACGGUUAGUAUUAUCGUUUAAAAUGUAAUUAUCAUUAUAACCGUGUUUGAUUACCGUGAUUUUGAAAACUCGCGGUAAAUCCUGUCCAGCCAGAAUCAGCUUGACGCAGGCGCUCGCAUGCAACAUUAGCUUUUGUGCGAGAAGGCGUGGCGGAUGCAGUAACAGGUGCACUGUGUUUUAAUGCGUUGCUUAUGUGUGCAUUUGUUUUUAUUUAAGCUACUGUUCAUUAAAACAGGUUCAUACAUUUCAGGGCUCCAUGUUAAUGUUCAUUUAAUGCAGGGGUGUCCAACACAACCAGUCGAUCGCAAAUGCAAUGCCGGUAGAUCGCCUAU